Molecule: transfer RNA, 103 nt
Filed under: Equus caballus (horse)
Lineage: Eukaryota; Metazoa; Chordata; Mammalia; Perissodactyla; Equidae
Description: partial transfer RNA-Thr
Source: RNAcentral
AGUCCUUGGGAGGAACGUUUUCCCCCUUUUCUGGUUUACUACACCAAGCUAAGGUACGGCGCAACCUACCCUGGUCUUGCUAUACCUGGCAUCUGGUUCACGC